This 240-nucleotide unclassified non-coding RNA is filed under the name soil metagenome. Its description in RNAcentral is "partial contains 5.8S ribosomal RNA, internal transcribed spacer 2, and large subunit ribosomal RNA". The record is from RNAcentral.
AACCUUAUGGACCUGCGGGCGUAUACCUGCGGAAGGAUCAUCACUGGACAAUAGUCUAUAAACCGUGUGAACUGUAUGAGAGGGAGCGUUGGCGGGAGGGCGAGGCGGUGAGCCGAGCCCGUGUCUCCACUCUGGUGGGGUGCCCGCCACGUGCCCGCAUUUCCAACAGACAUUUCAGACAAGCCCAGCUGAAACAACAUUCUAAUCACAAUACAACUUUUAACAACGGAUCUCAGAUCG